CAAGGAUGAGUCUGCGGACUAUCAGGUUGUAGUCAGGGUAACGACCUGACUAGCCUACGACGGAUACGGGUUGUGAGAGCAAUAACCCGGAGAUGAUAUCUGAGACACGAUAUCAGGCCCUACGGGGCGCAGCAGGCGCGAAAACUUCGCAAUGUGCGAAAGCACGACGAGGGAAUCCCAAGUGCUGGCUCGUUAGAGUCAGCUGUUUUUAUGUCUAAAAAGCAUAGAGAGUAAGGGCUGGGUAAGACGGGUGCCAGCCGCCGCGGUAAUACCUGCAGCUCAAGUGGUGGCCGCUAUUAUUGGGCCUAAAACGUCCGUAGCCUGUUUAUUAAAUGCCUAGGUAAAUUGUGUGGCUUAACCAUACGAAUUCUGGGUAGACUGAUAAACUUGAGACCGGGAGAAGCUAGAGGUACUCCUGGGGUAGAGGUGAAAUUCUGUAAUCCUAGGGGGACCACCAGUGGCGAAGGCGUCUAGCUAGAACGG
RNAcentral lists this ribosomal RNA (483 nucleotides) under uncultured euryarchaeote. Its description in RNAcentral is "bacterial SSU rRNA". It matches the Rfam family "Archaeal small subunit ribosomal RNA", at positions 204 to 688 of the family's 1478-position model. The record is from RNAcentral. Lineage: Archaea; Methanobacteriati; Methanobacteriota.